UGGGGAAUCAUGGUCAAUGGGCGAAAGCCUGAACCUGCGACGCCGCGUGAGUGAUGAAGGUCGUAAGAUCGUAAAACUCUUUUCAGGGAUCUUAAAGCCUGUCUGUCAACAACAGGCAGGUCCGACUCUCCCUGGAAGAAGCCCCAGCCAACUACGUGCCAGCAGCUGCGGUAAUACGUAGGGGGGGGGCGUUAUUCGGAAUUACUGGGUGUAAAGGGUAUGUAGGCGGCCCUUCAAGUCGCGUGUCAAAGUCCAGUGCUCAACGCUGGGUGUGCACGCGAUACUGACGGGCUUGAGGGCUGGAGAGGUGAGCGGAAUUCCCGGUGUAGUGGUAAAAUACGUAGAGAUCGGGAGGAACACCAGCGGCGCAGGCGGCUCACUAGACAGUUUCUGACGCUAAGAUACGAAAGCGUGGGGAGCAAACA
This 425-nucleotide ribosomal RNA is filed under the name uncultured prokaryote. Its description in RNAcentral is "bacterial SSU rRNA". It matches the Rfam family "Bacterial small subunit ribosomal RNA", at positions 355 to 774 of the family's 1533-position model. The record is from RNAcentral.